Pseudopipra pipra is the source of this 250-nucleotide long non-coding RNA. RefSeq lists it as uncharacterized. The record is from RefSeq and is a predicted model, not a curated record. The transcript has 3 exons. NCBI's taxonomy places the organism in Eukaryota, Metazoa, Chordata, Aves, Passeriformes, Pipridae.
CAUCUUUCUGAGCCUCUGGUGGGGAGGAGAUAGAGAAAAUCAGAAGUAAAACCAAGUCCAGAAAGAAGGAAGGGUGGGGACAGUGUGGUGCUCUGGAAUCCCUGGAGCCCAGGAGCAUGAAUGCAGGGAUACAUGGAAUAAAAGCAGCACUUUCAGAGUAAGCUUGAAGGGAGAUAAUCUGCAUCGUCAAGUCACUGAAAUUUCUGAUUCGUGACAUCUCUUAAUAAAUAAGUCCGAGACUCCAAAAUUA